RNAcentral lists this ribosomal RNA (394 nucleotides) under uncultured bacterium. RNAcentral's name for it is "partial 16S ribosomal RNA". It matches the Rfam family "Bacterial small subunit ribosomal RNA", at positions 338 to 729 of the family's 1533-position model. The record is from RNAcentral.
CCUACGGGGGGCAGCAGUGAGGAAUAUUGGUCAAUGGGCGGGAGCCUGAACCAGCCAAGUCGCGUGAAGGAAGAAGGCCCUAGGCGUCGUAAACUUCUUUUGUCGGGGAACAAAGGGCGCCACGCGUGCCGUUUUGAGUGUACCUGAUGAAAAAGAAUCGGCUAACUCCGUGCCAGCAGCCGCGGUAAUACGGAGGAUACGAGCGUUAUCCGGGUUUAUUGGGUUUAAAGGGUGCGUAGGUGGGUUGGUAAGUCAGGUGUGAAAGUCUGGGGCUCAACCGCAGAAUAGCAGUUGAAACUGGCAGUCUAGAGUACAGUAGAGGUACGCGGAAUGCGCGGUGUAGCGGUGAAAUGCAUAGAUAUCACGAAGAACUCCGAUUGCGAAGGCAGCUUAC